UACACGACCGUACCGCAAACCGACACUGGUGCGCGAGAUGAGUAUUCUAAGGCGCUUGAGAGAACUCGGGAGAAGGAACUCGGCAAAUUGACACCGUAACUUCGGAAGAAGGUGUGCCUUUAGUAGGUGAAGGGAUUUACUCCUGGAGCCCAAUGAGGUUGCAAAAAAUCGGUGGCUGCGACUGUUUAUUAAAAACACAGCACUCUGCAAACACGAAAGUGGACGUAUAGGGUGUGACGCCUGCCCGGUGCUGGAAGAUUAAAUGAUGGGGUGCAAGCUCUUGAUUGAAGUCCCAGUAAACGGCGGCCGUAACAAUAACGGUCCUAAGGUAGCGAAAUUCCUUGUCGGGUAAGUUCCGACCUGCACGAAUGGCGUAACGAUGGCCACACUGUCUCCUCCCGAGACUCAGCGAAGUUGAAAUGUUUGUGAUGAUGCAAUCUCCCCGCGGAAAGACGGAAAGACCCCAUGAACCUUUACUGUAGCUUUGUAUUGGACUUUGAACAGAUCUGUGUAGGAUAGGUGAGAGGCUUUGAAGCGGUGCCGCUAGGUAUCGUGGAGCCAACGUUGAAAUACCACCCUGGUGUGUUUGAGGUUCUAACCUAGGUCCAUUAUCUGGAUCGGGGACAGUGCAUGGUAGGCAGUUUGACUGGGGCGGUCUCCUCCCAAAGCGUAACGGAGGAGUUCGAAGGUACGCUAGUUACGGUCGGACAUCGUGACGAUAGUGCAAUGGCAUAAGCGUGCUUAACUGCGAGACUGACAAGUCGAGCAGAUGCGAAAGCAGGACAUAGUGAUCCGGUGGCUCUGUAUGGAAGGGCCAUCGCUCAACGGAUAAAAGGUACUCUGGGGAUAACAGGCUGAUACCGCCCAAGAGUUCAUAUCGACGGCGGUGUUUGGCACCUCGAUGUCGGCUCAUCUCAUCCUGGGGCUGUAGCCGGUCCCAAGGGUAUGGCUGUUCGCCAUUUAAAGAGGUACGUGAGCUGGGUUUAAAACGUCGUGAGACAGUUUGGUCCCUAUCUUCCGUGGGCGCUGCAGAUUUGAGGAAGCCUGCUCCUAGUACGAGAGGACCGGAGUGGACACACCUCUGGUGUAUCGGUUGUCACGCCAGUGGCAUUGCCGAGUAGCUAAGUGUGGAAGAGAUAACCGCUGAAAGCAUCUAAGCGGGAAACUCGUUUCAAGAUGAGAUCUGCCGGGGCCUUGAGCCCCCUAAAGAGUCGUUCAAGACCAGGACGUUGAUAGGUCAGGUGUGGAAGCGCAGUAAUGCGUUAAGCUAACUGAUACUAAUUGCUCGUGCGGCUUGACCAU
This 1302-nucleotide ribosomal RNA is filed under the name metagenome. RNAcentral's name for it is "bacterial LSU rRNA". It matches the Rfam family "Bacterial large subunit ribosomal RNA", at positions 1635 to 2925 of the family's 2925-position model. The record is from RNAcentral.